Meleagris gallopavo (turkey) is the source of this 1785-nucleotide non-coding RNA. The record is from RefSeq and is a predicted model, not a curated record. Lineage: Eukaryota; Metazoa; Chordata; Aves; Galliformes; Phasianidae.
CAUGUUUUCAUGGAUCAUCAAAAAGGCAAGCACUAAUGUUGCAGAGCGGCUCACCCCCAUGGCACAGUGAACAAAAACUUUACCUGCAAAAGGAAGAGAUGCAGCAAGAUCCUGCAGUGGAAUACGUGGGCCCUUUUUGCAACACUGCUGUUUCAGACCCAGGAGGCUCAGUCCAGACAGAGGCAGAAUGCCAUCAAGAAUUAAGAGUUCAAAGACAUUCCAGGAAGCCAUCCUCUGAGACUUCAGGAGCAUUCCUUCUGCCAGGAUCUCAUUAUUUGAAAUUGCUGUUCUCACCUCCAGAGAACACUGAUGAGAGACACUUGAGACUGGAUAGAGCUUCUGGAGGCAAUCCAGGCAGAUUAACCUCCUUGCUUCAUGGGGAGAAGGCAAGGAGGCAAACACUUUGAAACCCUUCUGAAGUUAACCAUCAGUCACCAAGCAUCCAGAGCACGGGGGUGCACCCUGACAGGUCUUGCUGUGCUCCACACCUCAGCUGUGCUUCUUGCAGAGGUAGUGCUUCACACUAUGGCUCUUUGUCCCCCUGAUGGAAAAAUCCAGAUGGAAAGAAGUGUAGUUCACAGGAAAAUGAUCGUUUCCUCCACUCGUGGUAGGAGAAGACUCCAAGCAGUGCAAGCACCCUCACCUUGCUGCUGGAAGAGAGGCAGGCACUGGAUGAACGACAUGCCUGUGCACUGGCUGCAGCAUAGACUGGCUGCAAUAUGGGCUGCUGGGCGUCACAGUGGACGAGAAAGAGCGGUCAGCUCAGACACCUCCUCUCUCUUCUCCAGGGGAAACUGACCCAUUAGCCACAUGGUUGACACAGAACUUUUAACUGAUGUGAUGAUGAGGGAAUACAACUGAUAAUACAGAUGCCUGUUAGCUGGACAGCAACACCACUUUCUCAUGAGAUGAUGCUCAGACAGACCCCAGUGCCUUCUACUCUUGGAAUUCUGGUCCUGCUUGGCUUCUUAAGGUAUUGUUCUUCAUAUUAUUCUAUUAGUCAAAAAGACUUUGGUCUCAGGUUGGUUCUGUGGUUAGCAGCAGAAUAACCUUCAUCUUGUGAGGAAAGCAAGUGAUGGCAACUGGAACUGCUGGUGACACCGUAAGCACGCUGUCAGCUUACAGGGAUUUCUAUUGCCCGUCAGCUGCCCACCCAGAGGUACUGGGUACCCCCUGCUAUUUGGAAGUGGAUUAAGCCUUCCUGAAAAUGAGUAAGUUUAAUAGAUUGUGAGACGCUUUUGAAGCUGCCUCAUCCAGAACAUCCUACAUCCCAGGUCCUUUUGCUAUACUUUCACCAACUGAUCAUUUUUGCCAAAGCAUCUCAAGGAAUGCUGAAUCCUGUUCUGGAAUUGAGGUGAGCAAGCACAAACCCUUUACAUGUUGAAGUUUUAGUAGGCAAGUAUGUAUUUGGGGAAACAACAUUCUAUAGGUAUCUCUGUGCUUGAAAAGAAAACCCUCUCUGACCUUUUAGUAUUGAAGACUUUACAUUAAAUGCUAAUUUGCAUUUUUUGCUUUUGGGGUUCUUUUUUGUCUUUCCUUCCUUCCUUCCUUCCUUUCUUCUCUCCUUCCCUCCUUCCCUCCUUCCUUCCCUCUCUCUUUCUCUCUCUCUUUUUCUUCUUUUUGAGUGAAGAUAAUAUUGAGAAACAAUUCAGUACAGAUAGUUCAUUCCUAAAACAAAGGCAAAUUCAGGGCUGUCAAGGAAUUUGAAAGCCCUGGGUUAAAGAAUUUUGCAAAGAUUUCUGCUGAGUAAGGGCUAUAUACCUGAGAGGGAAAAAACACUCACAC